UGUGAGCUCGAUGAGUAGGGCGGGACACGUGGUAUCCUGUCUGAAUAUGGGGGGACCAUCCUCCAAGGCUAAAUACUCCUGACUGACCGAUAGUGAACCAGUACCGUGAGGGAAAGGCGAAAAGAACCCCGGCGAGGGGAGUGAAAAAGAACCUGAAACCGUGUACGUACAAGCAGUGGGAGCACGCUUAGGCGUGUGACUGCGUACCUUUUGUAUAAUGGGUCAGCGACUUAUAUUCUGUAGCAAGGUUAACCGAAUAGGGGAGCCGAAGGGAAACCGAGUCUUAACUGGGCGUUAAGUUGCAGGGUAUAGACCCGAAACCCGGUGAUCUAGCCAUGGGCAGGUUGAAGGUUGGGUAACACUAACUGGAGGACCGAACCGACUAAUGUUGAAAAAUUAGCGGAUGACUUGUGGCUGGGGGUGAAAGGCCAAUCAAACCGGGAGAUAGCUGGUUCUCCCCGAAAGCUAUUUAGGUAGCGCCUCGUGAAUUCAUCUCCGGGGGUAGAGCACUGUUUCGGCAAGGGGGUCAUCCCGACUUACCAACCCGAUGCAAACUGCGAAUACCGGAGAAUGUUAUCACGGGAGACACACGGCGGGUGCUAACGUCCGUCGUGAAGAGGGAAACAACCCAGACCGCCAGCUAAGGUCCCAAAGUCAUGGUUAAGUGGGAAACGAUGUGGGAAGGCCCAGACAGCCAGGAUGUUGGCUUAGAAGCAGCCAUCAUUUAAAGAAAGCGUAAUAGCUCACUGGUCGAGUCGGCCUGCGCGGAAGAUGUAACGGGGCUAAACCAUGCACCGAAGCUGCGGCAGCGACGCUUAUGCGUUGUUGGGUAGGGGAGCGUUCUGUAAGCCUGUGAAGGUGUGCUGUGAGGCAUGCUGGAGGUAUCAGAAGUGCGAAUGCUGACAUAAGUAACGAUAAAGCGGGUGAAAAGCCCGCUCGCCGGAAGACCAAGGGUUCCUGUCCAACGUUAAUCGGGGCAGGGUGAGUCGACCCCUAAGGCGAGGCCGAAAGGCGUAGUCGAUGGGAAACAGGUUAAUAUUCCUGUACUUGGUGUUACUGCGAAGGGGGGACGGAGAAGGCUAUGUUGGCCGGGCGACGGUUGUCCCGGUUUAAGCGUGUAGGCUGGUUUUCCAGGCAAAUCCGGAAAAUCAAGGCUGAGGCGUGAUGACGAGGCACUACGGUGCUGAAGCAACAAAUGCCCUGCUUCCAGGAAAAGCCUCUAAGCAUCAGGUAACAUCAAAUCGUACCCCAAACCGACACAGGUGGUCAGGUAGAGAAUACCAAGGCGCUUGAGAGAACUCGGGUGAAGGAACUAGGCAAAAUGGUGCCGUAACUUCGGGAGAAGGCACGCUGAUAUGUAGGUGAAGCGACUUGCUCGUGGAGCUGAAAUCAGUCGAAGAUACCAGCUGGCUGCAACUGUUUAUUAAAAACACAGCACUGUGCAAACACGAAAGUGGACGUAUACGGUGUGACGCCUGCCCGGUGCCGGAAGGUUAAUUGAUGGGGUCAGCGCAAGCGAAGCUCUUGAUCGAAGCCCCGGUAAACGGCGGCCGUAACUAUAACGGUCCUAAGGUAGCGAAAUUCCUUGUCGGGUAAGUUCCGACCUGCACGAAUGGCGUAAUGAUGGCCAGGCUGUCUCCACCCGAGACUCAGUGAAAUUGAACUCGCUGUGAAGAUGCAGUGUACCCGCGGCAAGACGGAAAGACCCCGUGAACCUUUACUAUAGCUUGACACUGAACAUUGAGCCUUGAUGUGUAGGAUAGGUGGGAGGCUUUGAAGUGUGGACGCCAGUCUGCAUGGAGCCGACCUUGAAAUACCACCCUUUAAUGUUUGAUGUUCUAACGUUGACCCGUAAUCCGGGUUGCGGACAGUGUCUGGUGGGUAGUUUGACUGGGGCGGUCUCCUCCUAAAGAGUAACGGAGGAGCACGAAGGUUGGCUAAUCCUGGUCGGACAUCAGGAGGUUAGUGCAAUGGCAUAAGCCAGCUUGACUGCGAGCGUGACGGCGCGAGCAGGUGCGAAAGCAGGUCAUAGUGAUCCGGUGGUUCUGAAUGGAAGGGCCAUCGCUCAACGGAUAAAAGGUACUCCGGGGAUAACAGGCUGAUACCGCCCAAGAGUUCAUAUCGACGGCGGUGUUUGGCACCUCGAUGUCGGCUCAUCACAUCCUGGGGCUGAAGUAGGUCCCAAGGGUAUGGCUGUUCGCCAUUUAAAGUGGUACGCGAGCUGGGUUUAGAACGUCGUGAGACAGUUCGGUCCCUAUCUGCCGUGGGCGCUGGAGAACUGAGGGGGGCUGCUCCUAGUACGAGAGGACCGGAGUGGACGCAUCACUGGUGUUCGGGUUGUCAUGCCAAUGGCACUGCCCGGUAGCUAAAUGCGGAAGAGAUAAGUGCUGAAAGCAUCUAAGCACGAAACUUGCCCCGAGAUGAGUUCUCCCUGACUCCUUGAGAGUCCUGAAGGAACGUUGAAGACGACGACGUUGAUAGGCCGGGUGUGUAAGCGCAGCGAUGCGUUGAGCUAACCGGUACUAAUGAACCGUGAGGCUUAACCUUACAACGCCGAAGCUGUU
Molecule: ribosomal RNA, 2564 nt
Filed under: Escherichia coli
Lineage: Bacteria; Pseudomonadati; Pseudomonadota; Gammaproteobacteria; Enterobacterales; Enterobacteriaceae
Description: partial 23S ribosomal RNA
Rfam family: Bacterial large subunit ribosomal RNA
Source: RNAcentral